This 665-nucleotide ribosomal RNA is filed under the name uncultured Weissella sp. RNAcentral describes it as "bacterial SSU rRNA". It matches the Rfam family "Bacterial small subunit ribosomal RNA", at positions 44 to 692 of the family's 1533-position model. Lineage: Bacteria; Bacillati; Bacillota; Bacilli; Lactobacillales; Lactobacillaceae. The record is from RNAcentral.
GUGGUUGAAAUGAUAUGAAGAACUUGUUCAGAUUUGAUUUUCAACAUUGCAAUGAGUGGCGAACGGGUGAGUAACACGUGGGAAACCUACCUCUUAGCAGGGGAUAACAUUUGGAAACAAAUGCUAAUACCGUAUAAUAAUUAAAACCGCAUGGUUUUAGUUUAAAAGAUGGUCUUGCUAUCACUAAGAGAUGGUCCCGCGGUGUAUUAGUUAGUUGGUGAGGUAAUGGCUCACCAAGACAAUGAUACAUAGCCGAGUUGAGAGACUGACCGGCCACAAUGGGACUGAGACACGGCCCAUACUCCUACGGGAGGCAGCAGUAGGGAAUCUUCCACAAUGGACGAAAGUCUGAUGGAGCAACGCCGCGUGUGUGAUGAAGGGUUUCGGCUCGUAAAACACUGUUGUAAGAGAAGAAUGACAUUGAGAGUAACUGUUCAAUGUGUGACGGUAUCUUACCAGAAAGGAACGGCUAAAUACGUGCCAGCAGCCGCGGUAAUACGUAUGUUCCAAGCGUUAUCCGGAUUUAUCGGGCGUAAAGCGAGCGCAGACGGUUAUUUAAGUCUGAAGUGAAAGCCCUCGGCUCAACCGAGGAAUUGCUUUGGAAACUGGAUAACUUGAGUGCAGUAGAGGAAAGUGGAACUCCAUGUGUAGCGGUGAAAUGCGUA